UCUGCUCUCUCUUGCGAAGCUUGGCUUAAGCUUUCACACUCUCUCGACCUCUCCGUUCGCUGCCCUCUCUCGCCCUCUCAUCUCCGACGACGAGAACCAGAACAGACCGUCAUUUCCGCCGCCGCUCUUCCUUCUCCGACUAUGACAACCGACAGCCACCGCCAAAGCCUCAGCCACACUCGUCGCCGCCCUUCCUUCGUCGGAGCUGCCUCACUCGCCACCGCCACCACCCCGUAGCUGCCGAUUCCAAAAAUAACCGGUAAGUUUAUUUUUAUAUGGAUAGAGGGCAACUGUCCACUUGUCGAGCAAGGAGCCAAGGAAGAAGACGGUUCACACUACCUCUAAACUCUUGAUUCUUACAUUAUAGGCUGUUUUGUUCGGGAAUAUGGAGCGAGGGGAGUUGACAGAGUAGGAGACUUCCAUCUACGAUCGUCAGAUGAUGGAAAAUACACUACUUCUGCUUUGUGUGGAUUUGUUCAUGCACAGGUUACAGAACUGAAGGUUCAGAGAUUCUGGUGUGCAAAUCGAAGAUGUUAUGCUGAACAUAGCACGGGUUUAAUUGAGCUUGAGUUUAAGGAUCUGGAGAAAGUUCUGGAGCCUUUAUUUUACCACUGGAAACAGAAGAGACAAUCAAGAACUUAGGCAUUUGGUGACUUCACAACCGCAUGGUAAGAAGAAAAAAAUGUUAUCGUUGGUGUGUGUGUUUAUUUAUUUUUAUUUUUUUUUGUGGGGGUGGUUGGCUCUAUUACUCUUGGUAGUUGAGAAUCUCUAUCUCAUAUAAGCAUACAUGUUUUUUUUUUUGUGAUGACAUGAAUUAAUGUGGUUUAUAACUCGUGCCAAUGUGGUUUAUAACUCGUGAGCAUGAGUUCCUCAAGGAGAUCGGAAUCGGCCCUACAAACCUCAGCUGCUACGUCAAUGGGGCGUGGAAGGCUAGUGGACCUACGGUCUCCACUGUAAAUCCGGCCAACAAUGAGCCGAAGUUGUUGAAGCUUCAAUUGAAGAUUAUGAAGAAGGCAUGCAGGCUUGUAACGAAACAGCAAAGCUGUGGAUGCAGAUUCCAGCACCAAAAAGAGGUGAUAUUGUUAGGCAGAUUGGUGAUGCACUUAGAGCAAAACUUCACUACUUUGGCUGACUUGUUCACUUGAAAUGGGGAAAAUACUACCCGAAGGAAUUGGAGAGGUUCAAGUCUACACUUGAUCAACUUCAUUGAAGAGGUUGUGGAUGCUGCAUUGAUCAAAGCCAUUGAAGCAGUGCCGGAUUUGAAGGCUUAUUUGGGUGCAGCGAGCAUACUUAUGUAGUAUCAAAUAAGUAUAUUUUCAUACUUAAGUAGUACGGAGUAUCAAUCAAGUAGUAUAUAUUUUUUAUGUUUUUUUUUAUGAA
RNA transcript from Ipomoea nil (Japanese morning glory), 1380 nucleotides. RefSeq lists it as uncharacterized. The record is from RefSeq and is a predicted model, not a curated record. Lineage: Eukaryota; Viridiplantae; Streptophyta; Magnoliopsida; Solanales; Convolvulaceae. The transcript has 7 exons.